CCUCAAAUCAGGUGGGAACUACCUGCUGAACUUAAGCAUAUCAAUAAGCGGAGGAAAAGGAAACUAACUAGGAUUCCCUUAGUAACGGCGAGUGAAGAGGGACUAGCCCAAAUUUGUAAUCUGGCUCUUUCAGAGUCCGAGUUGUAAUCUCGAGAACAGUUUUCCGUGUUGGACCUUGUAUAGGUCUGUUGGAAUAUAGCUUCGUAGAGGGUGAGAAUCCCGUACAUAACAAGGACUACCAAUGCUUUGUGAUACUGUCUCUAAGAGUCGAGUUGUUUGGGAAUGCAGCUCAAAUUGGGUGGUAAAUUCCAUCUAAGGCUAAAUAUUGGCGAGAGACCGAUAGCGAACAAGUACCGUGAGGGAAAGAUGAAAAGCACUUUGGAAAGAGAGUUAACAGUACGUGAAAUUGUUAAAAGGGAAACGAUUGAAGUCAGUCUUGUAGCUUUUCGUUCAACCGCAAGGUGUAUUCGGAUUGCAACAGGCCAGCAUCAAUUUUUGGUGUCGGAUAAGGGUAUUGGAAACGUAGCAAUCUCGGUUGUGUUAUAGUCCUUUACUUGAUACGAUGCUGGGGAUUGAGGAACGCAGUGAGCCUUUUGGCGGGUCUUCGGACCUUCUCACUUUGGAUGCUGGCGUAAU
RNAcentral lists this ribosomal RNA (636 nucleotides) under uncultured Basidiomycota. Its description in RNAcentral is "LSU rRNA". It matches the Rfam family "Eukaryotic large subunit ribosomal RNA", at positions 1 to 635 of the family's 3401-position model. Lineage: Eukaryota; Fungi; Basidiomycota. The record is from RNAcentral.